GCCCGGGUGGUGAAAUUGGUAGACACAAGGGAUUUAAAAUCCCUCGUCUGAAAGGACGUGCCGGUUCAAGUCCGGCCCCGGGCACCA
This 87-nucleotide transfer RNA is filed under the name Agarivorans albus. RNAcentral describes it as "tRNA-Leu". It matches the Rfam family "tRNA". Rfam says of the family: Transfer RNA (tRNA) molecules are approximately 80 nucleotides in length. Their secondary structure includes four short double-helical elements and three loops (D, anti-codon, and T loops). RNAcentral also lists the same sequence under 18 other names. The record is from RNAcentral. Lineage: Bacteria; Pseudomonadati; Pseudomonadota; Gammaproteobacteria; Alteromonadales; Alteromonadaceae.